GCCUGUGUGGCUCAGUUGGUUAAGCCUCUGACUUCAGCUCAGGUGAUGAUCUCACAGUUCGUGGGUUCAAGCCCCACAUCAGGCU
RNAcentral lists this transfer RNA (85 nucleotides) under Felis catus (domestic cat). It matches the Rfam family "tRNA". Rfam says of the family: Transfer RNA (tRNA) molecules are approximately 80 nucleotides in length. Their secondary structure includes four short double-helical elements and three loops (D, anti-codon, and T loops). Further hydrogen bonds mediate the characteristic L-shaped molecular structure. tRNAs have two regions of fundamental functional importance: the anti-codon, which is responsible for specific mRNA codon recognition, and the 3' end, to which the tRNAs corresponding amino acid is attached (by aminoacyl-tRNA synthetases). tRNAs cope with the degeneracy of the genetic code in two manners: having more than one tRNA (with a specific anti-codon) for a particular amino acid; and 'wobble' base-pairing, i.e. permitting non-standard base-pairing at the 3rd anti-codon position. Lineage: Eukaryota; Metazoa; Chordata; Mammalia; Carnivora; Felidae. The record is from Rfam by way of RNAcentral.